Molecule: ribosomal RNA, 801 nt
Filed under: Lactobacillus johnsonii
Lineage: Bacteria; Bacillati; Bacillota; Bacilli; Lactobacillales; Lactobacillaceae
Description: bacterial SSU rRNA
Rfam family: Bacterial small subunit ribosomal RNA
Source: RNAcentral
GGGCGAGGCGGGGCUAUCUGCAGUCGAGCGAGCUUGCCUAGAUGAUUUUAGUGCUUGCACUAAAUGAAACUAGAUACAAGCGAGCGGCGGACGGGUGAGUAACACGUGGGUAACCUGCCCAAGAGACUGGGAUAACACCUGGAAACAGAUGCUAAUACCGGAUAACAACACUAGACGCAUGUCUAGAGUUUGAAAGAUGGUUCUGCUAUCACUCUUGGAUGGACCUGCGGUGCAUUAGCUAGUUGGUAAGGUAACGGCUUACCAAGGCAAUGAUGCAUAGCCGAGUUGAGAGACUGAUCGGCCACAUUGGGACUGAGACACGGCCCAAACUCCUACGGGAGGCAGCAGUAGGGAAUCUUCCACAAUGGACGAAAGUCUGAUGGAGCAACGCCGCGUGAGUGAAGAAGGGUUUCGGCUCGUAAAGCUCUGUUGGUAGUGAAGAAAGAUAGAGGUAGUAACUGGCCUUUAUUUGACGGUAAUUACUUAGAAAGUCACGGCUAACUACGUGCCAGCAGCCGCGGUAAUACGUAGGUGGCAAGCGUUGUCCGGAUUUAUUGGGCGUAAAGCGAGUGCAGGCGGUUCAAUAAGUCUGAUGUGAAAGCCUUCGGCUCAACCGGAGAAUUGCAUCAGAAACUGUUGAACUUGAGUGCAGAAGAGGAGAGUGGAACUCCAUGUGUAGCGGUGGAAUGCGUAGAUAUAUGGAAGAACACCAGUGGCGAAGGCGGCUCUCUGGUCUGCAACUGACGCUGAGGCUCGAAAGCAUGGGUAGCGAACAGGAUUAGAUACCUGGGUAGUCCAAAA